GCCUCUGAUGAUGAUGAAACUCUAAACUUUCGUUCUUCUGAGAUAUUCUAUGCGGAAAAAAAUUGGAGACCUGAACUGAAGAAGU
Small nucleolar RNA from Humulus lupulus (European hop), 85 nucleotides. RefSeq annotates it as small nucleolar RNA Z159/U59. Lineage: Eukaryota; Viridiplantae; Streptophyta; Magnoliopsida; Rosales; Cannabaceae. The record is from RefSeq and is a predicted model, not a curated record. The transcript has a single exon.